Humulus lupulus (European hop) is the source of this 332-nucleotide long non-coding RNA. RefSeq lists it as uncharacterized. Lineage: Eukaryota; Viridiplantae; Streptophyta; Magnoliopsida; Rosales; Cannabaceae. The record is from RefSeq and is a predicted model, not a curated record. The transcript has 2 exons.
UGAUAAUCUGCUUCAGAAAUAGAAGUCUUGGGGAGGAAGGCUUAGUUGGUUAGUAUUGCACUAACAAUUAACGUUUUCUCCAUAGCUUAAUCAGGUAAAGGGAAAGAAAAGCUCACCCAACCUUGAGUGGAGAGCUUAGGUGGUGAUGUGUACAUAUGCGGCCGCUUGACCACCAUGGUCAAGGAGUUCUCAGAGGAACUAGGGGGUUUACCUUAUUUUUGCCGCUUAGGUCGACGAGGUUUGUAAAUUUGAAACAGUAAUGACCAGUUUGAGUUGUAAAUAACUUGUAAAACUUUUUAUGGGCCCAUGCACAAUUUAUGUAUUUAAUAAAA